UGGUGAUAUAACUCAUUAACUAAAUAUAAUAAAGACCUAUGGUCUUUUGAUUUGAGGUCCUUGGUUUAUGACCUUGAAAUUGAUCUCAAGGUCAUAGCUUAAUUUGACGUUCUAGAUUUUGACCUUUGCUUUUAUUCUAUAUGUAUACAUGAUAAAGAUAUACAACUUUUAGAAAAAGAUAUCAAACCAUUUAACCUUGAAAAAAAC
Molecule: long non-coding RNA, 207 nt
Filed under: Mytilus galloprovincialis (Mediterranean mussel)
Lineage: Eukaryota; Metazoa; Mollusca; Bivalvia; Mytilida; Mytilidae
Source: RNAcentral